AUUGAACGCUGGCGGCAGGCUUAACACAUGCAAGUCGAGCGGGGUGAUGGUGCUUGCACUAUCACUUAGCGGCGGACGGGUGAGUAAUGCUUAGGAAUCUGCCUAUUAGUGGGGGACAACAUCUCGAAAGGGAUGCUAAUACCGCAUACGUCCUACGGGAGAAAGCAGGGGAUCACUUGUGACCUUGCGCUAACAGAUGAGCUUAAGUAGGAUUAGCUAGUUGGUGGGGUAAAGGCCUACCAAGGCGACGAUCUGUAGCGGGUCUGAGAGGAUGAUCCGCCACACUGGGACUGAGACACGGCCCAGACUCCUACGGGAGGCAGCAGUGGGGAAUAUUGGACAAUGGGGGGAACCCUGAUCCAGCCAUGCCGCGUGUGUGAAGAAGGCCUUAUGGUUGUAAAGCACUUUAAGCGAGGAGGAGGCUCUUUUGGUUAAUACCCAAGAUGAGCGGACGUUACUCGCAGAAUAAGCACCGGCUAACUCUGUGCCAGCAGCCGCCGUAA
RNAcentral lists this ribosomal RNA (503 nucleotides) under uncultured bacterium. RNAcentral describes it as "partial 16S ribosomal RNA". It matches the Rfam family "Bacterial small subunit ribosomal RNA", at positions 30 to 523 of the family's 1533-position model. The record is from RNAcentral.